This 486-nucleotide ribosomal RNA is filed under the name Legionella pneumophila. RNAcentral describes it as "bacterial SSU rRNA". It matches the Rfam family "Bacterial small subunit ribosomal RNA", at positions 1049 to 1533 of the family's 1533-position model. Lineage: Bacteria; Pseudomonadati; Pseudomonadota; Gammaproteobacteria; Legionellales; Legionellaceae. The record is from RNAcentral.
CUGUCGUCAGCUCGUGUCGUGAGAUGUUGGGUUAAGUCCCGUAACGAGCGCAACCCUUAUCCUUAGUUGCCAGCAUGUGAUGGUGGGGACUCUAAGGAGACUGCCGGUGACAAACCGGAGGAAGGCGGGGAUGACGUCAAGUCAUCAUGGCCCUUACGGGUAGGGCUACACACGUGCUACAAUGGCCGAUACAGAGGGCGGCGAAGGGGCGACCUGGAGCAAAUCCUUAAAAGUCGGUCGUAGUCCGGAUUGGAGUCUGCAACUCGACUCCAUGAAGUCGGAAUCGCUAGUAAUCGCGAAUCAGCAUGUCGCGGUGAAUACGUUCCCGGGCCUUGUACACACCGCCCGUCACACCAUGGGAGUGGGUUGCACCAGAAGUAGAUAGUCUAACCUUCGGGGGGACGUUUACCACGGUGUGGUUCAUGACUGGGGUGAAGUCGUAACAAGGUAGCCGUAGGGGAACCUGCGGCUGGAUCACCUCCUUAC